This 510-nucleotide ribosomal RNA is filed under the name uncultured bacterium. RNAcentral's name for it is "partial 16S ribosomal RNA". It matches the Rfam family "Bacterial small subunit ribosomal RNA", at positions 355 to 857 of the family's 1533-position model. The record is from RNAcentral.
UGGGGAAUAUUGCACAAUGGGCGCAAGCCUGAUGCAGCCAUGCCGCGUGUGUGAAGAAGGCCUUCGGGUUGUAAAGCACUUUCAGCGAGGAGGAAGGUGGUGAGCUUAAUACGCUCAUCAAUUGACGUUACUCGCAGAAGAAGCACCGGCUAACUCCGUGCCAGCAGCCGCGCGAUGGAGGGUGCAAGCGUUAAUCGGAAUUACUGGGCGUAAAGCGCACGCAGGCGGUUUGUUAAGUCAGAUGUGAAAAUCCCCGGGCUCAACCUGGGAACUGCAUUUGAAACUGGCAAGCUAGAGUCUCGUAGAGGGGGGUAGAAUUCCAGGUGUAGCGGUGAAAUGCGUAGAGAUCUGGAGGAAUACCGGUGGCGAAGGCGGCCCCCUGGACGAAGACCGACGCUCAGGUGCGAAAAGCGUGGGGCAGCAAACAGGAUUAGAUACCCUGGUAGUCCACGCUGUAAACGAUGUCGAUUUGGAGGUUGUGCCCUUGAGGCGUGGCUUCCGGAGCUAACG